AUUAUAUGCAUGAUUUUGUAAAGCGAUAUGUACUUGUACACUUACAAUUUCUUGAGCAUGGUGUCGGCCUGUAGCCUGGCAACCCUCAAUUCGGGGGAUAAUUAAACCAGCUGAACAGUCCAGUUCCGUUCAGUGGGGAUGAAGUUAAUUUGGCUUUCAAUUCAUUGAAGAUAUUUUUGUUUGCCAUUGCACAUGUACUAAUUGCUUUCGGCCACCUAAGUUUGUUUUUCAGGACCCAGGUUGGUGAAUGUAGAAUGGUGGACACACAUGGAAGAGGAUGCAGACAUGGCAAGGCAGAAUGGUGGACACAGAUGGAAGAGGAUGCAGGCAAGGCAAGGCAGUUCAGUUCCAUUUAGUUCAGUGGGGAAUUAAGUUUGUUUUUUCAGGAACCAGGUUGGUGGAUGCAGAAUGGAGGACACAGAUGGAAGAGGAUGCAGGUAAGGCAGUAUGGUGGUGAUCUGUUUAAACGAUUUGGAAUAAAAGGAGAGUACAGUUUUUUUGAUUAAUUAUUUUGAGGGUAGUGGCAGGCUGCAGACAGAGUUGCUCUCAAUACUUGGGGAUAAGACUAGCUGAACAGUCCAGUUCAGUUCCAUUUAGUUCAGUAGGGAUUAAGUUAAUUUGGCUUUUUUUGUUUGUCAUUGCACAUGUACUAAUUGCUUUCGGUCACCUCAGUGCAUUUUUCAGGAACCAGGUUGGUGGAUGCAGAAUGGUGGACACAGAUGGAAGAGGAUGCAGGCAAGACAGAAUGGUGGACAUAGAUGGAAGAGGAUUCAGGAACCAGGUUGGCGGAUGCAGAAUGGUGGACACAGAUGGAAGAGGAUGCAGGCAAGACAUAAUGGUGGACACAGAUGGAAGAGGAUGCAGGCAAGGCAGAAUGGUGGACACAGAUGGAAGAGGAUGCAAGCAAGGCAGUAUGGUAUGGACACUCAUUUCAAGGGAUAUCAACUGAACAAUCCAUUUCAAUUAUAUUUAGUUCUAGUU
Molecule: long non-coding RNA, 981 nt
Organism: Patella vulgata (common limpet)
Lineage: Eukaryota; Metazoa; Mollusca; Gastropoda; Patellidae
Exons: 3
Source: RefSeq, a predicted model, not a curated record